RNAcentral lists this ribosomal RNA (239 nucleotides) under uncultured bacterium. Its description in RNAcentral is "partial 16S ribosomal RNA". It matches the Rfam family "Bacterial small subunit ribosomal RNA", at positions 15 to 244 of the family's 1533-position model. The record is from RNAcentral.
GAUCAUGGCUCAGGAUGAACGCUAGCUACAGGCUUAACACAUGCAAGUCGAGGGGCAGCAUUUUAGUUUGCUUGCAAACUGAAGAUGGCGACCGGCGCACGGGUGAGUAACACGUAUCCAACCUGCCGAUAACUCCGGAAUAGCCUUUCGAAAGAAAGAUUAAUACCGGGUAGCAUACGAAUAUCGCAUGAUAUUUUUAUUAAAGAAUUUCGGUUAUCGAUGGGGAUGCAUUCCAUUAG